GAUGAACGCUGGCGGUAUGCUUAACACAUGCAAGUCGAACGGACUCUUCGGAGUUAGUGGCGGACGGGUGAGUAACGCGUGAGAAUCUGGCUUUGGGUUCGGGACAACCACUGGAAACGGUGGCUAAUACCGGAUGUGCCGAGAGGUAAAAGAGAAAUUGCCUGAAGAUGAGCUCGCGUCUGAUUAGCUAGUUGGUGAGGUAAAGGCUCACCAAGGCAGCGAUCAGUAGCUGGUCUGAGAGGAUGACCAGCCACACUGGGACUGAGACACGGCCCAGACUCCUACGGGAGGCAGCAGUGGGGAAUUUUCCGCAAUGGGCGAAGGCCUGACGGAGCAAUACCGCGUGAGGGAAGAAGGCUCUUGGGGUGUAAACCUCUUUUCUUAGGGAAGAACAAAAUGACGCUACCUAAGGAAUCAGCAUCGGCUAACUCCGUG
RNAcentral lists this ribosomal RNA (435 nucleotides) under uncultured bacterium. Its description in RNAcentral is "partial 16S ribosomal RNA". It matches the Rfam family "Bacterial small subunit ribosomal RNA", at positions 28 to 507 of the family's 1533-position model. The record is from RNAcentral.